Molecule: long non-coding RNA, 491 nt
Filed under: Mytilus galloprovincialis (Mediterranean mussel)
Lineage: Eukaryota; Metazoa; Mollusca; Bivalvia; Mytilida; Mytilidae
Source: RNAcentral
UUUUUGGUUAUUAUCUUGAAUAUUAUUAUAGAUAGAGAUAAACUGUUAACAGCAAUAAUGUUCAGCAAAGUAAGAUCUACAAAUAAGUCAACAUGACCAAAAUUGUCAGUUGACCGGUUUAGGAGUUAUUGCCCUUUAUAGUCAAUUUUUAACCAUUUUUCGUAAAUUAAAGUAAUCUUUUACAAAAAGCUUCUCCUCUGAAACUACUGGGUUAAAUUAAUUCAAACUUGGCCACAAUCAUCUUUGGGGUAUUUAGUUUAAAAAAUGUGUGGCGUGACCUGGUCAACCAACCAAGAUGGCCGCCACCGCUAAAAAUAGAACAUAGGGGUAAAAUGCAGUUUUUGGCUUAUAACUCAAAAACCAAAGCAUUUUGAGGAAAUCUGACAUGGGGAUAUAAAUGUUUAUCAGGUCAAGAUCUAUCUGCCCUGAAAUUUUCAGAUGAAUCGGUCAAUGGGUUGUUGGGUUGCUGCCCCUGAAUUGGUAAUUUUGAG